This 501-nucleotide ribosomal RNA is filed under the name uncultured bacterium. RNAcentral's name for it is "bacterial SSU rRNA". It matches the Rfam family "Bacterial small subunit ribosomal RNA", at positions 28 to 524 of the family's 1533-position model. The record is from RNAcentral.
GAUGAACGCUAGCGGCAGGCCUAAUACAUGCAAGUCGAGGGGUAACAGGUGUAGCAAUACAUGCUGACGACCGGCGCACGGGUGCGUAACACGUAUGUAAUCUACCUUUAACUGGAAGAUAGCCCGAAGAAAUUCGGAUUAAUAUUCCAUAAUAUAAUGAAGAGGCAUCUCUUUAUUAUUAAAGCUCCGGCGGUUAAGGAUGAACAUGCGUCUGAUUAGCUAGUUGGCGGGGUAACGGCCCACCAAGGCAACGAUCAGUAGGGGAUCUGAGAGGAUGAUCCCCCACACUGGUACUGAGACACGGACCAGACUCCUACGGGAGGCAGCAGUAAGGAAUAUUGGACAAUGGGGGCAACCCUGAUCCAGCCAUGCCGCGUGAAGGAUGAAGGCGCUAUGCGUCGUAAACUUCUUUUGAACGGGAGAAACCCCGGGUACGUGUACCCGGUUGAUAGUACCGUUAGAAUAAGGGACGGCUAACUUCGUGCCAGCAGCCGCGGUAAU